UGCAGUCGAACGAGUUCUGAUUAUUGAAAGGUGCUUGCAUCUUGAUUUAAUUUUGAACGAGUGGCGGACGGGUGAGUAACACGUGGGUAACCUGCCCUUAAGUGGGGGAUAACAUUUGGAAACAGAUGCUAAUACCGCAUAAAUCCAAGAACCGCAUGGUUCUUGGCUGAAAGAUGGCGUAAGCUAUCGCUUUUGGAUGGACCCGCGGCGUAUUAGCUAGUUGGUGAGGUAACGGCUCACCAAGGCAAUGAUACGUAGCCGAACUGAGAGGUUGAUCGGCCACAUUGGGACUGAGACACGGCCCAAACUCCUACGGGAGGCAGCAGUAGGGAAUCUUCCACAAUGGACGCAAGUCUGAUGGAGCAACGCCGCGUGAGUGAAGAAGGCUUUCGGGUCGUAAAACUCUGUUGUUGGAGAAGAAUGGUCGGCAGAGUAACUGUUGUCGGCGUGACGGUAUCCAACCAGAAAGCCACGGCUAACUACGUGCCAGCAGCCGCGGUAAUACGUAGGUGGCAAGCGUUAUCCGGAUUUAUUGGGCGUAAAGCGAGCGCAGGCGGUUUUUUAAGUCUGAUGUGAAAGCCCUCGGCUUAACCGAGGAAGUGCAUCGGAAACUGGGAAACUUGAGUGCAGAAGAGGACAGUGGAACUCCAUGUGUAGCGGUGAAAUGCGUAGAUAUAUGGAAGAACACCAGUGGCGAAGGCGGCUGUCUGGUCUGUAACUGACGCUGAGGCUCGAAAGCAUGGGUAGCGAACAGGAUUAGAUACCCUGGUAGUCCAUGCCGUAAACGAUGAAUGCUAGGUGUUGGAGGGUUUCCGCCCUUCAGUGCCGCAGCUAACGCAUUAAGCAUUCCGCCUGGGGAGUACGACCGCAAGGUUGAAACUCAAAGGAAUUGACGGGGGCCCGCACAAGCGGUGGAGCAUGUGGUUUAAUUCGAAGCAACGCGAAGAACCUUACCAGGUCUUGACAUCUUUUGAUCACCUGAGAGAUCAGGUUUCCCCUUCGGGGGCAAAAUGACAGGUGGUGCAUGGUUGUCGUCAGCUCGUGUCGUGAGAUGUUGGGUUAAGUCCCGCAACGAGCGCAACCCUUAUGACUAGUUGCCAGCAUUUAGUUGGGCACUCUAGUAAGACUGCCGGUGACAAACCGGAGGAAGGUGGGGAUGACGUCAAAUCAUCAUGCCCCUUAUGACCUGGGCUACACACGUGCUACAAUGGAUGGUACAACGAGUUGCGAGACCGCGAGGUCAAGCUAAUCUCUUAAAGCCAUUCUCAGUUCGGACUGUAGGCUGCAACUCGCCUACACGAAGUCGGAAUCGCUAGUAAUCGCGGAUCAGCACGCCGCGGUGAAUACGUUCCCGGGCCUUGUACACACCGCCCGUCACACCAUGA
Molecule: ribosomal RNA, 1385 nt
Filed under: Lacticaseibacillus rhamnosus
Lineage: Bacteria; Bacillati; Bacillota; Bacilli; Lactobacillales; Lactobacillaceae
Description: bacterial SSU rRNA
Rfam family: Bacterial small subunit ribosomal RNA
Source: RNAcentral